Molecule: transfer RNA, 69 nt
Filed under: Perissonemia borneenis
Lineage: Eukaryota; Metazoa; Arthropoda; Insecta; Hemiptera; Tingidae
Description: tRNA-Ser
Source: RNAcentral
AGCUAAUUAACUUAAAAUAAAGUUUAUAUUUUGAAAAUAUAAAAUGUAAGAUUAACCUUACAUUAGCUU